This is a non-coding RNA of Camellia sinensis, 2603 nucleotides long. Lineage: Eukaryota; Viridiplantae; Streptophyta; Magnoliopsida; Ericales; Theaceae. The record is from RefSeq and is a predicted model, not a curated record.
AGACAGCUUGAAGUUUACAUCAUUGCUCCUCUAUUUAACCGACUACAAGUCUGAGCAAGGUGAGACCACUCAAGCGCAUCUCUCUCUGUUUCUCUGAUCUUUCCUCCUCCUCCUCCUCCUUGUUUUUGGGUUUGUUUUUGUUUUUCUUGUUUUGAGUAUGCUUAUCCGUACCCUCCUCCUCGUCUUGAUGCCCCGCCUGAACCAGUAAUUCCAUCUGGGUCGACGGACUUGGGCGGUUUUCCGGCCUCCAACACGACCCAAGAACACUUGGGGACCCAAGUUCCGCCGGCUGCUGAAUCAAUGAUUCAAAUUCUCGAUCAUUUUGAUGCGGCCGCUGACACCACCGCCGAGCCUUCUAAAUCAGUGGCCCAAGCUCAUCCUCCUCAUCCUCCUGUUGAUGCCCUGCCUGAACCAGUAAUUCCACGCAAUGCUCAGCAACAAGACCUAGGAUUGCCAAAGCUAGUUUUAGCGUUCUGCUUGACAGCAGCUUUUGAAAUCGCCUUCCGAUCCAUCCAGACUCAUAAACACUACCCUAUAACCUUCCAAUUGAUGUGUCUCUUAAUGGUGUUUGCACUCGCUUUUCUCGUUGUUGCUAAAUACAUCGUUGCCAAGUACCCAAAAUCAGGCCGCUUGCUUGAGCACGCUGGACUACUCUGUGGAGUUACCGCUUUCUUUGCGGCCAUCACCGUCUCUUUCUCUCUCUGCCUCAAGCUCAUUUCCUGGAUGGUAUAUGCUCUUUCAUUGCUUGCCAUUUCCAUCUGCAAUUGCCCUCCACCACUGUGAACCCCUAAUGCUAAUCCUGCACAAGAUUGUCGUUCAGGGAUUGGAAAUAAGCAAAGAACCAUGAAAUGGAAUAACAGUUGCAGGAUGUUGAUAAAUGAAACACUGUCAAUGGCAGAUAACUUACCAAAAGAACAAGAAAAAAAAAAAGAUAUGUGGUUCUCGAACAAUUAAGAGCUGAUAAGGUGGUACUGAAACGGCACAUGAAUAAAUCAUCUUCUUGGAGGGAACAAGUCACUCAAGAAUAAUGUGGAGCACUCCCCAGUUGCACAAGUGACCUCUACAUACUGGAGAGCUGUCCAUAAGCUGCUCUGAAUCCAGAACACCAUUUCGGAGUCCCAGAAGCACCAGGUAAUUUUUCUACUCUUCAAUUUUCUUUUUCUUUUUUCUUUUUCGGCUGCUCUGUCUCAAAUAUUCUUCCCUAGCUUUCCCACUACACCUUCUGCUGCAUAAACCCUAAAGACUGCUGUGAUGGAGCAGCAGUGUCAACCAAUUUCUUUGGUCGUUUUCUAAUCAAAUGAUAGCAUUUUGCUUAACUUCAUCUGUCAAAAUAGCCAUCCAAUUUAUUCAAACCUGACUACUCUAACUUCCUCCAAUUUUUUCACUAGCCUUUGCCUCCGUCUUUGUAGUGAGUUACCUAUCACAGCCCAAGCUUUAUAGUGACUUGCUAUCUUCUUUGCUGCCACAACAUUCUGUAUUGCUAUUUGAUUCCCUACAACAGCAGUCCUCACAUGCACCAAUUGGUCUGUUUAUGCUGUCUCCUUGCUACUCAUUCUCACAUACACCACACUAAUAAGCAUGAACGAGAAACACCCCCCCCCACCACACACACACACACACGCAUUUUAUCCAGUAUCUGUAAGAAUAUGAGUAUGUACACCUAAGAAGCAUGGACACAGACACGUGACACGACAUGGAUACGACACGGAUAUACCGACACGUUAAUUUUCAAAAAAUGAAGGACACGACACGUAGGGGACACGCAUGAAAUAUGUAAUUUUAUAUAUUUAUUAUAUGUUAUAUAUUUAAAUAUAUCAUUCAAAGAUAAUAAAAAAUGCAAUAUGACACUAAUUCCUAUAAAUUUAUAUGGUUUUUGAUUUGUUAUUGUAUCUUAAGUUGUUUUAUUUAAAUUUAUAAUUAGUUUCAUUUGUGCCCAAUCGAUAGACACGUGUGUUUAUGCGAUUGACAUGUGUGUCCUCUAAGUGUCCAAAGUGUAUCUGGGUCUUUAAAAAAAUUUAAAAAAUAAGACACGUUUUGAAGAGUGUCGGACACGUGUCCUAAGAGUGUCCAAAGAGUGUCGGUGUCCAACACGGACAUGACACGGAAAGUUCCAUCCUCUUUCGCUGGUAUCAAUUCCCUAGUCGUGUUCCAUGUAUGUAAGUGAACAAAAGAAAAGUUUUUCUAAAGUAAUUUGAAUUUUUUAAUUUGUUUUAUUUGGAUUUACCUCAAAAGGGUAAUUUGGAAAAAAAAAAAAAAAUAGGAUGUACUGAGAAUAAACCAUUACCCUAAAUAAUUUAGUAGGGUAUAUUGAAAAUUGGGCUCACUUGAAUAUUUUUUGGGUGUAAAUAGAAUCUCCCAACUUAUGCACAUGCUCUGAAUGGACUUUUGAUAAUUAAUGGACAAAUACUUCCUCAUAAGCCCCAAGUGUUGUUAGUCCAGUCUUAUUAUAUCUUGCUAGGCCUUUGGUAGUCAAGUACUACUGACCGGUCACAACGUUAUCCUGUUUGGGACGAGAUAAGGUCGUGAUAGAGUGCGGGGGGCUUGGUUGGUGAGGGACGUAAUUUAUAGAGUGAAAAUGGAGCGAACUGAUGUAGUGGGUUUAG